Non-coding RNA from Nicotiana tabacum (common tobacco), 672 nucleotides. The record is from RefSeq and is a predicted model, not a curated record. NCBI's taxonomy places the organism in Eukaryota, Viridiplantae, Streptophyta, Magnoliopsida, Solanales, Solanaceae.
GGCAGUAUCUGCACUUAGCCUCUUACCCCCUUUCCCUUUCUAUUUUCUAACCUAGACUUCUCUCAAAAAAUUUAACUUUGGUUGGUUAUUGUGGAAUCACGAGUCACGACUACUACAAUAGCUUCACGACCUCGGCGAUGACGACUCCUCUCCUCGACGACUGCUUGUUUGCUCAUUCUUGACUUUCAUUCAGGCAAAUAUUUUCAUGAAUGGGAGCCUUGGCGUGACGGGUAAAGUUGUUAUGUAAUUAGGAGGUCACGGGUUCGAGCUGUGAAAAUAACCUCUUGGAGAAAUGUAGGGUAAGGCUAGACCCUUGUGGUUCGGCCCUUCUCCGAACCCCGCGCAUAGUGAAAGUUUAUUGCACUGGACUGCCCUUUUUAGGCUCUAUCAUAUACAAGGGUGUUCUGGCCAUAUUUCUACAACUGUGUCAACCAAAGUGGAAGCUUAUUGUUUUGCAAGAACAACUCAGAUUUAGCAGCAAGGGUAAACAAAGAUACCAAAGCAAAAGCCGCUCCACCAAAUGAAACAGCUUAUGUUUCAAUAGAUUUGACAAAACAAACUGAAGAAUAAUUAUGUGACAUUUUGAACAAGAUCCAUAGUUCCACGUACAUGAUGAGCUAGGGGAGUAGUCAUCAUUUUCCCGGUAUGCUAAAUGCUAAGUUACUUGAGGUA